CCUACGGGUGGCUGCAGUGGGGAAUAUUGGACAAUGGGGGGAACCCUGAUCCAGCCAUGCCGCGUGUGUGAAGAAGGCCCUCGGGUUGUAAAGCACUUUCAGUGAGGAAGAACGCCUGGUGGUUAAUACCCAUCAGGAAAGACAUCACUCACAGAAGAAGCACCGGCUAACUCCGUGCCAGCAGCCGCGGUAAUACGGAGGGUGCGAGCGUUAAUCGGAAUUACUGGGCGUAAAGCGCGCGUAGGUGGCUUGAUAAGCCGGUUGUGAAAGCCCCGGGCUCAACCUGGGAACGGCAUCCGGAACUGUCAAGCUAGAGUGCAGGAGAGGAAGGUAGAAUUCCCGGUGUAGCGGUGAAAUGCGUAGAGAUCGGGAGGAAUACCAGUGGCGAAGGCGGCCUUCUGGACUGACACUGACACUGAGGUGCGAAAGCGUGGGUAGCAAAUAGGAUUAGAUACCCCUGUAGUC
RNAcentral lists this ribosomal RNA (465 nucleotides) under Vreelandella stevensii. RNAcentral's name for it is "partial 16S ribosomal RNA". It matches the Rfam family "Bacterial small subunit ribosomal RNA", at positions 338 to 795 of the family's 1533-position model. Lineage: Bacteria; Pseudomonadati; Pseudomonadota; Gammaproteobacteria; Oceanospirillales; Halomonadaceae. The record is from RNAcentral.